AUCACAGGGAGACGUUUAGGCCACCAGACGGCUGCGGGCGGGCUUGACUGAUGUCAGGCUUUCCACAAGAGGUGGUGGAGCAGAGUCUUCUCUAACUCCCCUGGAGAAAGGGAGACUCCCUCUCCGGGUUUGGGAAGAGACAAAACUCAGGAGGAUUGUGCUAUGAUAAACAAGGCUAACCUGCUGAUUCUCUGAAGCAAGGAACUGGAGAUGGUCCUUCUAAGGGUUUAUAUUCUGGAUUCCAGGAAACAUGCAAACAGGACCCAUAAAUGCAUCUUUAUUUUGGUGCCCAUUUUGACCUGGUCAGGAGAAUUCCAACAAAAAAUCCACGGUGUUGGAGCAAGAUCUCAGGCUCUCAGGCUGUGGCCAUCUAGAGAUUCCAUUUUGGAUGCUCCCAUCGGGACUGUGUGUCCCUGUGCUGGAACUCGAGUGAACACUUGGCUCAAAAUCCAUUGCUGUUCUCUAGAAAUCCUGCCCUAUUCUCUUGGUGAAAUAUAAGUCAUGGUUUCACCAUGUUGCCCGGGCUCAUCUUGAACUCCUGAGCUCAAGUGAUCCUCCCGCCUCAGCCUCCUAAAGUGCUGUGAGCCACCGUGUCCCAACAGUACUUGUGUGUUUCCGUUCAAAUUGUAUUGAGGAGCUUUUACAGCAUAGCCUGUGGUCUCUCCGGGAGAAUGUUUUUGUUUACGACAAUGUAUAUUCUUCAACAUCGUAGAUUCCAUUUUGGAUGCCCUCAUUGGGACUGUGUGUCCCUGUACUGGAACUCAAGUGAACACUUGGCUCAAAAUCCAUUGCUGUUCUCUAGAAAUCCAGCCUAAUUCUCUUGGUUAAAGACGGUGUUUCCCUCUUGUUGCCCAGGCUGGAGUGCAAUGGCAUGAUCUCGGAUCACUGCAACCUCCACCUCCCUGGUUCAAGCGAUUCUCCUGCCUCAGCCUCCCGAGCAGCUGGGAUUACAGGCAUGCAUCACCACGCCCGGCUAAUUCUUUGUAUUUUUAGUAGAGAUGGGAUUUCUCCAUGUUGGUCAGGCUGAUCUUGAACUCCCAACCUUAGGUGAUCCACCCACCUCGGCCUCCCAAAGUGCUGGGAUUACAGGCAUGAGCCAUUGUGCCCGGCCCAUUUCAUUUAUUUUUAUGUGUGCUGCUGAAGCAAGCACUUAUGUGUAGGAAUUGUUCUUCCUGUGAGCAUAUGUUGGCCAGCCUGGACCACAUACCAAGAUCCCAUCUCUUUAAAAACACAGAUUACGUGGCACCUGGCACCUGGUCCCAGAGACUUCAUUUGGGUUGGUCAUUUGAAACACUAGCCUCCCAUCAAUUUAGUGUAAUCAAUCCAAAUCAUGUGUCCUUCAUUAAGAGACUAAGAACGCCUCCACGUCUAUCCAGUCUAUUUUGUAAUCCCCAACGGUUGUCAAUAUUAAUAAAAUUUCUUUUCUUUUUCCUA
This 1434-nucleotide long non-coding RNA is filed under the name Homo sapiens (human). Its description in RNAcentral is "novel transcript". The record is from RNAcentral. Lineage: Eukaryota; Metazoa; Chordata; Mammalia; Primates; Hominidae.